AGAGUUUGAUCCUGGCUCAGGACGAACGCUGGCGGCGUGCCUAAUACAUGCAAGUCGAGCGGUUGAAGCCUUCGGGCGGAGAUAGCGGCGGACGGGUGAGUAACACGUAGGUAACCUGCCUAACAGACUGGGAUAACUACCGGAAACGGUAGCUAAGACCGGAUACGUCAACAUGAGGGCAUCCUUGAGUUGAGAAAAGCGGAGUAAUCUGCUACUGAUAGAUGGACCUGCGGCGCAUUAGCUAGUUGGUGAGGUAGAGGCUCACCAAGGCGACGAUGCGUAGCCGACCUGAGAGGGUGAACGGCCACACUGGGACUGAGACACGGCCCAGACUCCUACGGGAGGCAGCAGUAGGGAAUCUUCGGCAAUGGACGAAAGUCUGACCGAGCAACGCCGCGUGAGUGAUGAAGGUUUUCGGAUCGUAAAACUCUGUUGCCAGGGAAGAAUGGCUAGGCGAGUAACUGCGCUUAGUUUGACGGUACCUGAGAAGAAAGCCCCGGUUAACUACGUGCCAGCAGCCGCGGUAAUACGUAGGGGGCAAGCGUUGUCCGGAAUUAUUGGGCGUAAAGCGCGCGCAGGCGGUCAUUUAAGUCUGGUGUAUAAACCAAGGGCUCAACCUUUGGACGCAUUGGAAACUGGGUGACUGGAGUGUAGGAGAGGAAAGUGGAAUUCCACGUGUAGCGGUGAAAUGCGUAGAGAUGUGGAGGAACACCAGUGGCGAAGGCGACUUUCUGGCCUAUAACUGACGCUGAGGCGCGAAAGCGUGGGGAGCAAACAGGAUUAGAUACCCCCGUAGUCC
Molecule: ribosomal RNA, 799 nt
Filed under: uncultured bacterium
Lineage: Bacteria
Description: bacterial SSU rRNA
Rfam family: Bacterial small subunit ribosomal RNA
Source: RNAcentral